Molecule: ribosomal RNA, 102 nt
Filed under: Alphaproteobacteria bacterium
Lineage: Bacteria; Pseudomonadati; Pseudomonadota; Alphaproteobacteria
Description: partial 23S ribosomal RNA
Rfam family: Bacterial large subunit ribosomal RNA
Source: RNAcentral
CCCAAUUAAUCUCGUGGUAGACCACCACGUUAAUAGGACAGAUGUGUACAUACAGCAAUGUAUUUAGCUUACUGUUACUAAUAAGAUGAUCGGCUUGAUCUU